GCUAAACGCGAAGAACCUUACCAACCCUUGACAUGGCGAUCGCGGUUCCAGAGAUGGUUCCUUCAGUUCGGCUGGAUCGCACACAGGUGCUGCAUGGCUGUCGUCAGCUCGUGUCGUGAGAUGUUCGGUUAAGUCCGGCAACGAGCGCAACCCACACUUCUAGUUGCCAGCAUUCAGUUGGGCACUCUAGAAGAACUGCCGAUGAUAAGUCGGAGGAAGGUGUGGAUGACGUCAAGUCCUCAUGGCCCUUACGGGUUGGGCUACACACGUGCUACAAUGGCGGUGACAAUGGGUUAAUCCCAAAAAGCCGUCUCAGUUCGGAUUGGGGUCUGCAACUCGACCCAUGAAGUCGGAAUCGCUAGUAAUCGCGUAACAGCAUGACGCGGUGAAUACGUUCCCGGGUCUUGUACACACCG
This 416-nucleotide ribosomal RNA is filed under the name uncultured bacterium. Its description in RNAcentral is "bacterial SSU rRNA". It matches the Rfam family "Bacterial small subunit ribosomal RNA", at positions 954 to 1392 of the family's 1533-position model. The record is from RNAcentral.